RNAcentral lists this transfer RNA (91 nucleotides) under Ailuropoda melanoleuca (giant panda). It matches the Rfam family "tRNA". Rfam says of the family: Transfer RNA (tRNA) molecules are approximately 80 nucleotides in length. Their secondary structure includes four short double-helical elements and three loops (D, anti-codon, and T loops). Further hydrogen bonds mediate the characteristic L-shaped molecular structure. tRNAs have two regions of fundamental functional importance: the anti-codon, which is responsible for specific mRNA codon recognition, and the 3' end, to which the tRNAs corresponding amino acid is attached (by aminoacyl-tRNA synthetases). tRNAs cope with the degeneracy of the genetic code in two manners: having more than one tRNA (with a specific anti-codon) for a particular amino acid; and 'wobble' base-pairing, i.e. permitting non-standard base-pairing at the 3rd anti-codon position. Lineage: Eukaryota; Metazoa; Chordata; Mammalia; Carnivora; Ursidae. The record is from Rfam by way of RNAcentral.
GCCUGGGUGGCUCAGUCGGUUGAGCGUCUGACUCUUGAUUUUGGCUCAGAUCGUGAUCAUGGGGUCGUGAGAUCAAACCCCGCCUUGGGCU